GGCUCGAUAGUCUAAUGGUAUGACGCUCUGGUCCGUAUCUCGCACGGGGUCGCUCUGACCUGUUCCAGUUGUCGAUCGCAGAGCUGUGGGUUCAAAUCCCGCCCGAGCCU
Non-coding RNA from Cercophora samala, 110 nucleotides. The record is from the annotation of a GenBank genome assembly. Lineage: Eukaryota; Fungi; Ascomycota; Sordariomycetes; Sordariales; Lasiosphaeriaceae.